AUUGAACGCUAGCGGCAUGCUUAACACAUGCAAGUCGAACGGUAGCAGGUUUAGUGGUAACACUAGAUGCUGACGAGUGACGGACGGGUGAGUAACGCGUAGGGAUCUACCUUGUAGAGGGGAAUAACCUGGGGAAACUCAGGCUAAUACCGCGUAAGCCGGGAACGGGAAAGGUUGGGACCAGCAAUGGCCAAUCGCUAUAAGAUGAACCUGCGUCAGAUUAGCUAGUUGGUGGAGUAAAGGCCACCCAAGGCGAAGAUCUGUAGCUGGUCUGAGAGGACGACCAGCCACACUGGGACUGAGACACGGCCCAGACGCUUACGGGAGGCAGCAGUGGGGAAUAUUGGACAAUGGGCGAAAGCCUGAUCCAGCAAUGCCGCGUGUGUGAAGAAGGCCUGCGGGUUGUAAAGCACUUUCGUUGGGGAGGAAUUGCAAAAGGUUAAUAACCCUUUGCAUUGACGUUACCCAAAUAAGAAGCACCGGCAAACUCUGUGCCAGCCGCCGCCGUAA
This 510-nucleotide ribosomal RNA is filed under the name uncultured bacterium. RNAcentral describes it as "partial 16S ribosomal RNA". It matches the Rfam family "Bacterial small subunit ribosomal RNA", at positions 30 to 523 of the family's 1533-position model. The record is from RNAcentral.